This 472-nucleotide ribosomal RNA is filed under the name uncultured bacterium. RNAcentral describes it as "partial 16S ribosomal RNA". It matches the Rfam family "Bacterial small subunit ribosomal RNA", at positions 28 to 507 of the family's 1533-position model. The record is from RNAcentral.
GACGAACGCUGGCGGCGUGCUUAACACAUGCAAGUCGAACGCUGAAGCUUGGUGCCUGCACUGGGUGGAUGAGUGGCGAACGGGUGAGUAAUACGUGAGUAACCUGCCCUUGACUCUGGGAUAAGCCUGGGAAACUGGGUCUAAUACUGGAUACGACAUGUCACCGCAUGGUGGUGUGUGGAAAGGGUUUUACUGGUUUUGGAUGGGCUCACGGCCUAUCAGCUUGUUGGUGGGGUAAUGGCUCACCAAGGCGACGACGGGUAGCCGGCCUGAGAGGGUGACCGGCCACACUGGGACUGAGACACGGCCCAGACUCCUACGGGAGGCAGCAGUGGGGAAUAUUGCACAAUGGGCGAAAGCCUGAUGCAGCGACGCCGCGUGAGGGAUGACGGCCUUCGGGUUGUAAACCUCUUUCAGCACGGAAGAAGCGAAAGUGACGGUACGUGCAGAAGAAGCGCCGGCUAACUACGUG